RNAcentral lists this long non-coding RNA (3337 nucleotides) under Hordeum vulgare. RNAcentral's name for it is "long non-coding RNA (HVUL_LNC012015)". The record is from RNAcentral. Lineage: Eukaryota; Viridiplantae; Streptophyta; Magnoliopsida; Poales; Poaceae.
CAAGGAAAUAUAAUAAUAACUUAUUUAUUAUUGCCUCUAGGGCAUAUUUCCAACACAAGGCAGUAGGCUCCCAUACCAACUAACGGAAACACACAUUGCUUGGGGGCAACAAGGCAGACGACUCCGAUACCAACUUGUGACACCCUCAAUUUGAUCGUACACUCAUCAUACACGCAAACAUGUAUGAUCAAGCUCAAGGACUCACUAAUCAAUAUCAAACACAACUCUAGAUACAAAUUUAAACAUAAAGGUAUAUAUUACAAGCCAGGGCCAUGAGGGCUUGAAUACAUCAGUCAGCGGAAGCAACAAUAUCUGAGUGCAGACAUUAAGCAAACAAGUUCUACCUUAAGAAGGCUAGCACAAAAGAUACAUCGAUCGAAAAGGCAAGGCCUCCUCCUGGGCGCCUUCUCACUGCUUCUGGUCGUUAGCAGUCUCCACGUAGUAGUAGGCUCCAUUGGGGUAGUAGCAAUCGUCGACGGUAGCAUGUGGCUCCUAGGAUCCUCCAUCUGAUCGCGGCAAUCAGGUAGAAGAACAUGGGGGAAAGGUAGCAAAAGCGGUUAUGAGUACCCAUCCAAAGUACUUGCGAGACUUACAUCAGGUCUAAACUACAUAUGCAUUGGCAUCAAAUGAAAGGGGUAGUAUCUAUGGACUAAACUGCAGAAUGCUAGAAAAAGGGGGAAGCUAGUAUAGUAACAAGUAUCAUCCUAUAGCAAUAAUCCUAACCCGGAGAUCCUCUCCUUGUCUCCCUGAGAGAGUGGUAGCCGAGUUGUAUCUAUCACUUAUCUGGGUGUAUUUUGUUAAGUAUCCAAGUUGUAUCCAAGUCGCACUGUUAUCGGGACACGACUAUUCGAAUAGUUAAUUCAUCACUACAGGGGUGCACCACAUUUCCCAACAUGCUUGAUAACUUCUGGCCGGAUGCACUUCCUGGGUCAUGACCGGACUCGGGAGAUCAACAUGUCGUAGCCCCACCUAGAGUCAACAGAGAGGCAAUCUCGCCGGACUAAAUCCUAUAUGCGCAGGAGUCUUGGGCCUCGUUGCCCUUUGCACGUGUGCACGUUGCAUGGGCAACCAUGAUCAGUCCUAGCGACCUCCUUUACAAGGCAGGUGCUUACUCGGACCAUUCGGGCGUGCGCCGCUCCACUGCUGACGUCCGAAGAGCUUCGACUGAUACAACGACGCCGAGUACCCAUAACUGUUUCCGCGUGAAGGUUAGUGUGUAUAGGUCAAUCGACCAACUUAGAUCAAAUACCCAAACUCAUUAAGCAUGUUAUUAUGAAAUAACCGCACACAACGACCAGGGACCAGGCCCACCUCUCUCCUAGGCGGUCUCAACCUGCCUUGUCGCUCUUCCACAAAGAUCCACACAAGGGGUCGUCGGGGAAAUGUCCUUUUGGCCCCCAGUCCGUGAAUCACUCGCGGGUACUAUACGAGCCGACUCGACUUUAGUCACCACAAGUAUCAUUGAUAGUAUAUAUAUAUAUAUACCUGUGAUCACNNNNNNNNNNNNNNNNNNNNNNNNNNNNNNNNNNNNNNNNNNNNNNNNNNNNNNUAUAUAUAUAUACCUGUGAUCACCUCCCUUAGGGGAUCAUGCCUCGAUAGUAUAUCGUAGCAGACGGACAAGAAGGUAGGGCCACUGAUGGAAUACUAGCAAACCUAUACUAGGCAUUUAGGAUAACAAGUAGAGUAUCAACAACAGUAGCAAAACAGACUAUGCAGCAGUAUAGGAUCACCGAUAAGCAGUAAUAGCUACACUACUCUAAUGCAAUAAAUAAAGAGAAAAGAGUAGGCGAUAUCGGGAUGAUCAAGGAGGGGGGCGGGAAUGCUCGCCUGGAAGCUCGGUCGAGAUGGAGGGGUCGUCGAUAUCGUAGUCGUACUGGGCGGUAGUGGCGUCAGUCUCGAGGUCUACAGGAGGGAAGGGGGGAGAAACAAUAAAAAUAUAUAGCAAACAAUGCAUCAGGAUGCCUCACAUGGUAAUACAAUGUGUCAGGGUCGAGUUAACGCAGUACUACAUCUCACGGACGAUGCGGGAAAGUACAUGACGAUAUUUCUCGUGUCUCGGGCAUCUACUCCAUAGAUGAACCUAACGUAAAAUGACCAUGUUCAUUAUGCUAGAAGCAUGUGAUAGAUGAACGGACAACAUAUUCAGAUUCGUGGGAAUUUUCUGAGAAACUUUCAUAUAUAAAUUAUUUUCAUCCAAGUUAUAAAAUAUUUUAUAUGAUUUUCAAAGUUUUAACAAUAUUCUGAAAUUCCUGGAUUUCAGUAUUAAUUCGAAAAAUAAAUGCAAAACUGCUAGGGGUACCCAGCUCUUUGUACACACGAGUGUACACAAAGAAUGACAUGUGGACCAGGGGGCCGAGUUGACCAGUCAAAGUUUGACUAGUCAAUAGGGAGUGAGCCCGUGUCAUUCUGUGUUAACUUAACUAACAUGUUUAAUUAGACUAAUUAUGUUAUUGGACUAAUUAAUUUCCAUUUAAUUAAGUUAAUUGAUUAAUUAAUUGCAUCUAUUAUUUAUUUGUUUAUUUGUUUUAUUUAUUUCCUUUGUUUUCGUUUUUUUACCCAUGGAUCCGCCCCUAUGGUUAGUGGCGUGAGGGCGGUUAGUGGGAAUUAGCCUAGUGGUUAUUUAGGCCGACAGUUAGCGUCGAAGGCCUUUGACCACGACGGAUCCUGGCAAAGCCAGCGCCGACGGUCGGCGGUGGAGCGGCGUGGGCGCAGAGAGCGGGGGCUGGUGCGGUGGCAAGCAGCGGCGUGCGGGCAGCAGCACACGGGAGCGGUGGCGAGCUCGGGGUCGGUGCGGUUGGGCGUGACGAAGCUGGGGCAGCGGUGAGCGGGGCUAGGCCAGGGCAACGUGCACAGGCGACGGGAGGCACGGGAGCGCGCGUGCACGGGCGCGUGCGUGUGCGGCGUAGAGGUGCAGGCGUGGCCAAGCGCGCGGGGCGGCAGCAGAGCACAAUGCGACGGGAGGAUGCGAGUGCGGCCGGGCGAAGCGAGUGCGGAAGCGGUGACAGAGCAAGGAGGGAAAGGGAGAGGUUGGGCCUCACCGGCGUCUGCAGGGGGGCUCAGGCGUGAGGCGUGAUGGAGCCGCUGGGGAGGAGGACGGCGACGAGGGCGACGGGGUCGGGGCGGCUCGGCGACGGAGCGAUGCGGCUGUGGGCGAGCUCGAGCUUGUGAGGUAAGGGACUAGGGGCGCGAGGGGGGAGGUGACCUAUGGUUGGUGGGGAGAUCGUCAGUGAUAAUUUAGGGGUUGGCGGUCGUCGGAUGGCCGAAACACGCCAUUGUUGACGAGGAAUGGCUGCCACGAUCCUCCCCCGUUCCUCUAGCACGGGGAGGGGGAUGAGAG